UUGAUCAAGCUACAAAGAGCGCAUCAUGGAUGCCUUGGUGCCAAUAGGCGAUGAAGGACGUGGUAAGCUGCGAUAAGUCACGGAGAGCGGCAAACACGCUUUGACCCGUGAAUUUCCGAAUGGGAUAACCUGAGCGAGCUAACACUUGCUCGAGCUUCUGUGAAUUCAUAGCAGAAGCAUCGCGACACCCGGAAUUCAGAAGACGAUAUCUUCUGAACCUAAUUCGGUUUAUUUUGUUAAUUCUGUCAAAAAUUUGGGUUUUGAAGUGGCGGGGGGGUUGUAGGAGCCCGAUGUGGUAGUGCAAAGGUUAGGUGAAGCUUCUGGAAAGCUGCGCCCCAGAGGGUGAAAGGCCCGUAACCGAAAACCCGAGCACGCCUAGGGAUUUCCUGAGUAAUACGAUGCACGUGAAACUUCGUAUGAAUCUGCGCCGACCACGGCGUAAGCCUAAAUACUAAUUGGCGACCGAUAGUGAACAAGUACCGCGAGGGAAAGGUGAAAAGAACCGCUAUGAGCGGAGUGAAAUAGUACCUGAAAUGAUGUGCUUACAAGGUGUCAAAGCCCAGCACCAGUUGGACAGAUGAUGUCCGAAAGAGACUGCGAUAUUGCAGUCCAACUGGUGCUGGGUGAUGGCGUGCCUUUUGCUUAAUGAGUCUGCGAGUUAUUAUCAGUGGCGAGCCUAAGGCGUUCUGCGCUGGAGGCGAAGCGAAAGCGAGUCCGAAAUGGGCGACCUAGUCGCUGGUAGUAGACCCGAAGCGGAGGUGAUCUACCCAUGAGCAGGAUGAAGCGCGGGUAAAACCGUGUGAAGGUCCGAACCGGUGAAAGUUGAAAAUUUCUCGGAUGACUUGUGGGUAGGAGCGAAAGACUAAUCAAACCCCGUGAUAGCUGGUUCUCCCCGAAAUAGCUUGAGGGCUAGCCUCGUGUGCUGACCUGCGGAGGUAGAGCACUGGAUGAACUAGGACCCAUACCAGGGUACCGAACUCAAUCAAACUCCGAAUACCGCAGGGUGUAACACGGGAGUCAGUGCGUGAGGGAUAAGCUUCACGCGCGAGAGGCAAACAUGCCAGACCAGCAGCUAAGGUGCCCAAAUACCGUUCAGUGGAAAGGAUGUGAGGUUGCUUAGACAGUGAGGAUGUUGGCUUAGAGGCAGCCAUCAUUUAAACAGUGCGUAAUAGCUGACUCAUCGAGCGAUCUCGCGCCGAUAAUGAUUGGCGAUAAACGGUAUACCGAAGCUCUGGAAGACAUUCUGGUUCGCCAGAAUGGAUUGGUAGGGGAGCGUUGUAGCGACGUCGAAGCCGCGACGGAAGUCGAGGUGGAGUUUCUACAAGUGAGAAUGCAGACAUGAGUAGCGAUAAGCCAGGUUAAAUUCCUGGCCGCCGUAAACCCAAGGUUUCCUGGGGAAGGUUCGUCCUCCCAGGGUUAGUCGGGACCUAAGUCGAGGCCGAAGGGCGUAGACGAUGGAAAGCAGGUUCAAUAUUCCUGCACCGGCUGUGGUUAAGUUUAGUUGUGACACAUGAGUAGAGACAGGCCGCCGGUUGAAAGUGACGGUCUGCUCGCAAGAGCAAGGACGGGGAGGCUUCGGCUGAACCGGAUCUGUUAAAACUUGUGUCAAGAAAAGCGACUAAAUGUUCCCACGGUUGCCCGUACCGUAAUCCGACACAGGUGGGUGAGUAGAAUAUACUCAGGCGCGUGAGUGAAACCUCGUUAAGGAACUCGGCAAUCUAGCCCCGUAACUUCGGAAGAAGGGGUGCCCAGCACAUUCAGUUCGUUCUGAAUUGAGGCUGCGGUUGGAGCGUCUCGUGAUGCUUCAGCAAUACAAAUCAAUCGAGCGGAUUGAAUGUGCUGGGUCGCAGUGAAAUGGGUCAACCGACUGUUUAACAAAAACACAGCACUCUGCCAAGUCGUUAAGACGACGUAUAGGGUGUGACACGUGACCAAUGCGGAAAGAUUAUGGCAAGACGUCAGCCGCAAGGCGAAGCGUUGAACCGAAGUCCCCGUGAAUGUCGGCCGUAACUAUAACGGUCCUAAGGUAGCGAAAUUCCUUGUCGGGUAAGUUCCGACCUGCACGAAUCGUGUAACGAGUUGACCGCUGUCUCAACGAGGAGCUCAGCGAAGUUGUAGUGGCGGUGAAGAUGCCGCCUACCCGCAGUAGGACGGAAAGACC
RNAcentral lists this ribosomal RNA (2161 nucleotides) under Verrucomicrobiota bacterium. RNAcentral describes it as "bacterial LSU rRNA". It matches the Rfam family "Bacterial large subunit ribosomal RNA", at positions 1 to 2090 of the family's 2925-position model. Lineage: Bacteria; Pseudomonadati; Verrucomicrobiota. The record is from RNAcentral.